RNAcentral lists this long non-coding RNA (271 nucleotides) under Carica papaya (papaya). Its description in RNAcentral is "long non-coding RNA (CPAP_LNC008803)". The record is from RNAcentral. Lineage: Eukaryota; Viridiplantae; Streptophyta; Magnoliopsida; Brassicales; Caricaceae.
AUAAACCUCAAUACCCCGUCCGAUAUGAAGGUGAAACGGACCGUCCCCAUACCCCGUCCGGUAUGGAUGCCAAAACACAUAAAGUCUCCAUACCCCGUCCGGUAUGGAUGCCAAAACACAUAAAGUCUCCAUAUACCUUUUUCUAUUUUUCUUAAUUUCAAUUAUCCAAUCAAACACAAACACGUAAACCAGUAAUGGACACCAAACAAGGUAACACAACAUCAGGUUCAUAAUAAUUCAAACCAUAAUAAAUGAAACCGUGAUUCAUGCA